GAUGAACGCUGGCGGCGUGCCUAAUACAUGCAAGUCGAGCGAACGGACGAGAAGCUUGCUUCUCUGAUGUUAGCGGCGGACGGGUGAGUAACACGUGGAUAACCUACCUAUAAGACUGGGAUAACUUCGGGAAACCGGAGCUAAUACCGGAUAAUAUUUUGAACCGCAUGGUUCAAAAGUGAAAGACGGUCUUGCUGUCACUUAUAGAUGGAUCCGCGCUGCAUUAGCUAGUUGGUAAGGUAACGGCUUACCAAGGCAACGAUGCAUAGCCGACCUGAGAGGGUGAUAGGCCACACUGGAACUGAGACACGGUCCAGACUCCUACGGGAGGCAGCAGUAGGGAAUCUUCCGCAAAGGGCGAAAGCCUGACGGAGCAACGCCGCGUGAGUGAUGAAGGUCUUCGGAUCGUAAAACUCUGUUAUUAGGGAAGAACAUAUGUGUAAGUAACUGUGCACAUCUUGACGGUACCUAAUCAGAAAGCCACGGCUAACUACGUG
This 497-nucleotide ribosomal RNA is filed under the name uncultured bacterium. Its description in RNAcentral is "partial 16S ribosomal RNA". It matches the Rfam family "Bacterial small subunit ribosomal RNA", at positions 28 to 507 of the family's 1533-position model. The record is from RNAcentral.